Molecule: ribosomal RNA, 373 nt
Filed under: uncultured organism
Description: bacterial SSU rRNA
Rfam family: Bacterial small subunit ribosomal RNA
Source: RNAcentral
CGUAGGGUGCGAGCGUUGUCCGGAAUUAUUGGGCGUAAAGGGCUCGUAGGCGGUUUGUCGCGUCGGGAGUGAAAACACCGGGCUUAACUCGGUGCUUGCUUUCGAUACGGGCAGACUAGAGGUAUGCAGGGGAGAACGGAAUUCCUGGUGUAGCGGUGAAAUGCGCAGAUAUCAGGAGGAACACCGGUGGCGAAGGCGGUUCUCUGGGCAUUACCUGACGCUGAGGAGUGAAAGUGUGGGGAGCGAACAGGAUUAGAUACCCUGGUAGUCCACACCGUAAACGUUGGGCGCUAGGUGUGGGGCCUAUUCCAUGGGUUCCGUGCCGCAGCUAACGCAUUAAGCGCCCCGCCUGGGGAGUACGGCCGCAAGGCUA